UACGUAGGGGGCAAGCGUUGUCCGGAAUCAUUGGGCGUAAAGAGCGUGUAGGCGGCUCGGUAAGUCCGCUGUGAAAGUCCAGGGCUCAACCCUGGGAUGCCGGUGGAUACUGUCGGGCUCGAGUCCGGAAGAGGAGUGUGGAAUUCCUGGUGUAGCGGUGAAAUGCGCAGAUAUCAGGAAGAACACCAGUGGCGAAGGCGGCUCUCUGGGACGGUACUGACGCUGAGGAGCGAAAGCGUGGGGAGCGAACAGG
This 253-nucleotide ribosomal RNA is filed under the name uncultured bacterium. Its description in RNAcentral is "partial 16S ribosomal RNA". It matches the Rfam family "Bacterial small subunit ribosomal RNA", at positions 524 to 776 of the family's 1533-position model. The record is from RNAcentral.